This 234-nucleotide long non-coding RNA is filed under the name Lathyrus oleraceus (garden pea). RNAcentral describes it as "Pisum sativum (pea) long non-coding RNA (PSAT_LNC020996)". The record is from RNAcentral. Lineage: Eukaryota; Viridiplantae; Streptophyta; Magnoliopsida; Fabales; Fabaceae.
UCACAUACCCACUUAGCCUCCUAUGGCGAAUAACAACAACAGGUGGCCUUCCUCAUCACAGGCCUACACUAGAUCCAACCAUGACGACCAACAAUAAUCUGAAUCUGAAGGCUCAGUUCUGCCUACUAGGAACCUUGACGAGGGAAGAAGGUCAGACAGAGUUCCUUGGUGUGAUCACUGCAAGCGCGAAUGGCAUACACGUGAAACUUGUUGGAAGCUCAAAGACAAACCUCC